Molecule: long non-coding RNA, 767 nt
Organism: Talpa occidentalis (Iberian mole)
Lineage: Eukaryota; Metazoa; Chordata; Mammalia; Eulipotyphla; Talpidae
Exons: 4
Source: RefSeq, a predicted model, not a curated record
GAAAGGAGAUACAUUAUCUUAAUGCAUUUGCCUUGAGGCAGAAGAAAAGACUCACCUUCUGAAAACUCUGAGCAGGGGGAGGUGUUGGGAAACAUAGGUUGUUCAUUUGCCAGUGCACUUUGGAUGAGCAAGUUGAUCAGCCAACAAGUAUUUCCUGAGCCUCCAUAUGUCCAGUUCUGCCGAGACUGCGGCUUUGAAGAUGAGCAGGAUGUGGCUAUGCCUUCAGCAGGCCUGGGUCCAGUGGCAGGAAAAUUCAAAAAGAAACUGAAACCCCUCUGAUAUGGGAGAUACAGACAGAGAAGAGGAUUUUCUGGUGCAGAGCCCAAAAUUAGAGGAGAGGAAAUUCCAUAGAUUUUUCUGAUGAAGCUUUUAUCCAAGAUGCCAAGUUGUCCCUUCGAUGAAUCUGUGAAGACCUUUGUUGAUCAAGGGAUAACUGGAACUGGGGUGUAAGCCAGAGGUGCAACGGGUGAGAGGAUUCACCAGAGAGAGUGGGGAGCAGACCAGACAGAUCUACUGAAAUAAACUGCUGAGGGGAACAGCGGAUGACACAAGAGAGGUCUGCCAUCCCAUUAACCAAGGCCAGCUCGGCUAAAAGCCAAUGAACUCUAAGGAAUAUCAUCUGCAACCAAUCCUAGUUCUUGGUGAGCAGCUUCUGAGAUCCUGCCUUCUCCGUCCCCUCUCUUUGUCCCUUAAAAACCUCUUAAAGACCCCAGCAGGGUCUAAUCUGGGCUGAUACCUGAGUUUGUACCCUUAGUCCCCAAAUAAAA